CCUACGGGAGGCAGCAGUGGGGAAUAUUGGACAAUGGGCGAAAGCCUGAUCCAGCCAUGCCGCGUGAGUGAUGAAGGCCUUAGGGUUGUAAAGCUCUUUUACCCGGGAAGCGGUACCGGGAGAAUAAGCCCCGGCUAACUUCGUGCCAGCAGCCGCGGUAAUACGAAGGGGGCUAGCGUUGUUCGGAUUUACUGGGCGUAAAGCGCACGUAGGCGGAUUCUUAAGUCAGGGGUGAAAUCCCGAGGCUCAACCUCGGAACUGCCUUUGAUACUGGGGAUCUUGAGUUCGGGAGAGGUGAGUGGAACUGCGAGUGUAGAGGUGAAAUUCGUAGAUAUUCGCAAGAACACCAGUGGCGAAGGCGGCUCACUGGCCGAACUGACGCUGAGGUGCGAAAGCGUGGGGAGCAAACAGGAUUAGAUACCCUUGUAGUC
RNAcentral lists this ribosomal RNA (431 nucleotides) under uncultured bacterium. RNAcentral describes it as "partial 16S ribosomal RNA". It matches the Rfam family "Bacterial small subunit ribosomal RNA", at positions 338 to 795 of the family's 1533-position model. The record is from RNAcentral.